GCUAGCGUCGAAGUGUUUUGCAUUUACUUUAUUCAUCACCAUUUAACGCUGCUGUUGGUUAACUAUUUGCUGAUAUCACUUACCUGCUGCAAUGUAUUCAUGAAAUCACCACAGCUCUCAACUAAUUCCUGAGGUCGAACAGCAGACACCUGUCCACUAUUGACCCUAGGCGGUACCAACAGUUUGAAGUUAAAACCCCGGUCUCUCUCCAUCCUGAAAUGGACACAUUGACACAGCUUUAAGCAUUCGAUAGUUGUAUCCCAUCCCUGCAAACAGGAAGACACUGGAGACAAUGAGGAGGAUCCCACAGCCCUGGUUUGGGUUUUGGUCCUAUAGGCCGCAUGAGGGAACCAGCGACACAGCAAUUGAGGAGCAAACCACCCAGGAUCAAGAAACUUCCUCUCCAGCCAAAGCGGUCAAAUAGCAAGUCUCACCUCCACCGUACAUAACCGCUAACAUGAUGGAAGAGAUCCAGGACACCUGGCUGCUGGACACGUCAAAGAUCACCUCAAUGUCUUUAAAGAAGACAGUGAUGGACUUGGGGAAUGCAUAGGAGAAUCCAAUAGAGAUGAAGGCCCCAACCACCACCAUCCAUCCCCAGCCACCCUCAGGUGGUGUGUAGCCUUGUGGACCACCGACAGCAGGCGCCAUUUUCACUCACAAAUCUCCUCUUUUCAAAUUUCAACACGUUAUACAGAUAUGAUGACCUGUUCAGGAGAGAACAAAACAGCAAAGAUAAUUACUUGAUUAGUUUUUAUUUCUUGAAAGAUUACUUUUUUAUGUUUUUGUUGAAACAUGUUGAAAACAAUUCACUGAUUGAGAGUUGUUCAAUAAACGGUUGGCUUUUUGAAAAUAAAAGACUUAAGUGAAUAUGUAUUAAUCCAGCAGUAAAUGCAUAUUAUAAAACUGUCUUGAACUUGA
Molecule: long non-coding RNA, 921 nt
Organism: Micropterus dolomieu (smallmouth bass)
Lineage: Eukaryota; Metazoa; Chordata; Actinopteri; Centrarchiformes; Centrarchidae
Exons: 4
Source: RefSeq, a predicted model, not a curated record